GCGGAUAUGGCGGAAUUGGCAGACGCGCUAGAUUCAGGUUCUAGUGAAAGCAAUUUCAUGCAGGUUCAAGUCCUGUUAUCCGCACCA
This 87-nucleotide transfer RNA is filed under the name Bacillota bacterium. RNAcentral describes it as "tRNA-Leu". It matches the Rfam family "tRNA". Rfam says of the family: Transfer RNA (tRNA) molecules are approximately 80 nucleotides in length. Their secondary structure includes four short double-helical elements and three loops (D, anti-codon, and T loops). Lineage: Bacteria; Bacillati; Bacillota. The record is from RNAcentral.